UGCGGCUGGAUCACCUCCUUUCUAAGGAUGAUCCUUCAGCGAGCUUCGGCUCACUAUCGGAUCGUUUUAGAAACAUCAGUGGCCAACAGAUCGCCAGAUCGUUGAGCUGCAUUGGCGGGAUUUCGCCGUCUUCGUUUCUCUUUCUUCGAGGACGAACACGCGCUGGCCUGCAACGACAGGAUCCAGGGUCCUUAACGGGAUAUGCGUUAGGGGCUUGUAGCUCAGUUGGUUAGAGCGCGCGCUUGAUAAGCGUGAGGUCGGAAGUUCAAGUCUUCCCAGGCCCACCACUUACAUCGAGUGAGCAUUCGUCUUCUGGUUACGGGGCCAUAGCUCAGCUGGGAGAGCGCGUGCUUUGCAAGCAUGAGGUCGUCGGUUCGAUCCCGUCUGGCUCCACCAGAUGGUUUGAUCACCGAGGUCAUGCACCGUCGUCCGCGAAACAUCACUUCGCAUCUUGCUAGUCUGGAUAGACAGUAAGUUGCGUGUUUUCUGACAUCGUAAAGAGGAGAUCGAUCCGAGUUGGGUCGUGCGGCAAAUUGCUGCGCGGGCCAUCAUUAUCUCCUGAUCAUUUUCGGCGCUCGCGUCCGGCCGCAAGGUUGGCCGCGAGUUGUAAAAUGAUCCUUUUAGCGAAGCUUGACCGCCUCGCUAUCGGAACGAUCUUACGAAGCAAGCUGGUCUUUCUAGUCAAUGUCCGGCUACAGAUGGCGUUCAUCGAGGGCGCGUGCCGCAAGGCAAUUCUGUAGACAACAUUCUGCCGAGUGUGUGGACAUUGAUAAUGAGAGCAAUCAAGUGCCUUAAGGGUGUUCGGUGGAUGCCUUGGCGCUGAGAGGCGAUGAAGGACGUGCUACGCUGCGAUAAGCCGUGGGGAGCUGCGAAGAAGCUUUGAUCCGCGGAUUUCCGAAUGGGGAAACCCACCUUCGAUAGCCGGAACUCCAAGACCUUGUGUCUUGGUGUUCGACCAGAAAUGAUCGGGACCAUGACCCCAAAAGGUUUUGGAUUUCCGGUUAUCAAGAGAAGGUAUGAGACUUCUGAAUACAUAGGAGGUUUCAAGCAAACCCAGGGAACUGAAACAUCUAAGUACCUGGAGGAAAGGACAUCAACAGAGACUCCGUUAGUAGUGGCGAGCGAACGCGGACCAGGCCAGUGAUACAUCAAAGCCAAUCGGAACCAGUCAGGAAAGCUGGGCCUCAGAGGGUGAUAGCCCCGUACGAGUAAUGCGAUGAUGUAUCCACGAGUAAGGCGGGACACGUGCAAUCCUGUCUGAACACGGGGGGACCACCCUCCAAGCCUAAGUACUCCUCAGCGACCGAUAGCGAACCAGUACCGUGAGGGAAAGGUGAAAAGCACCCCGACGAGGGGAGUGAAAUAGACCUGAAACCGGACACCUACAAACAGAUGGAGCCCAAGAUUCGUUCUAGGUGACAUCGUACCUUUUGUAUUAUGGGCCAGCGACUUAAUUUAACGAGCAAGCUUAAGCCGAUAGGCGAAGGCGUAGCGAAAGCGAGUCUGAAUAGGGCGCCAAGUUCGUUGUAUUAGACCCGAAACCUAGUGAUCUAGCCAUGAGCAGGUUGAAGGUGAGGUAACACUCACUGGAGGACCGAACGGGUGCCUGUUGAAAAAGGCUCCGAUGACUUGUGGUUAGGGGUGAAAGGCCAAUCAAACUGGGAAAUAGCUGGUUCUCCGCGAAAGAUAUUUAGGUAUCGCCUCGCACGAAUGCUUCGGGGGGUAGAGCACUGGAUGGGCUAGGGGGACUUACCGUCUUACCAAACCCAACCAAACUCCGAAUACCCGAAAGCAAUAUGCGGGAGUCACACGGCGGGUGCUAACGUCCGUCGUGGAGAGGGAAACAACCCGGACCUACAGCUAAGGCCCCUAAUUCGUGGCUAAGUGGGAAAGGAUGUGGAAAUCCCAAAACAACCAGGAGGUUGGCUUAGAAGCAGCC
Molecule: small RNA, 1939 nt
Filed under: uncultured Bradyrhizobium sp.
Lineage: Bacteria; Pseudomonadati; Pseudomonadota; Alphaproteobacteria; Hyphomicrobiales; Nitrobacteraceae
Description: bacterial LSU rRNA
Rfam family: Bacterial large subunit ribosomal RNA (bases 781-1939)
Source: RNAcentral